GUCGCGUUCGUCUAGCCGGUCAGGAUCCCGGGCCUUCAACCCGGGGACGCGGGUUCAAGUCCCGCACGCGAUGCCA
This 76-nucleotide transfer RNA is filed under the name Rubrivivax sp. Its description in RNAcentral is "tRNA-Glu". It matches the Rfam family "tRNA". Rfam says of the family: Transfer RNA (tRNA) molecules are approximately 80 nucleotides in length. Their secondary structure includes four short double-helical elements and three loops (D, anti-codon, and T loops). The record is from RNAcentral. Lineage: Bacteria; Pseudomonadati; Pseudomonadota; Betaproteobacteria; Burkholderiales; Sphaerotilaceae.